GAGACCCGUACCCACAGUUGCCAGCGGCUGCUCCGGCAGGCUGGGUACACCGUGGGGACCGCCUCUGCUAAAGAGGAGGAAGGAGCGGGCGACGGUAGGUCAGUAUGCCCCGAAUUCUCCGGGCUACACGCGGGCUACAAUGGAUGGGACAAUGGGCUCCGACACCGAAAGGUGAAGGCAAUCUCUUAACCCCAUUCUUAGUUCGGAUUGAGGGCUGAAACUCGCCCUCAUGAAGCUGGAAUCCGUAGUAAUCGCGUUUCAAAACAGCGCGGUGAAUAC
RNAcentral lists this ribosomal RNA (279 nucleotides) under uncultured bacterium. RNAcentral describes it as "partial 16S rRNA". It matches the Rfam family "Archaeal small subunit ribosomal RNA", at positions 1047 to 1325 of the family's 1478-position model. RNAcentral also lists the same sequence under 1 other name. The record is from RNAcentral.